UGACGUCAACUAACUGUUCAAGUUAUUGUCUCAGUUUGAUUCAAGAAUCCUAUAAUGCAUAUCUCUUCUUCGCACUUCAUUAAAACAACUUUGGCUGAAGAUAAGGAAAAGAACAAAUGAUCUCUCAUUUGUAUCCUCCCUAGAUGCAUUUCCAAUAUCUUGUCCUGAUUAUAGAACUUUCACAUGAAUCUUUAAGAUUUAUUCUAUUUUCUUAAGCUAAAUUUUGAAGAUAUUCCGUCUUUGAUCCAAAUUUCUUUAUUAUAGUUACUAGAGAUUUUUUCCGCGCUUCGCGCGGAUUAUGUCUUAUAAAUUUAUUUUAUUUAUAAUAUUAUUUGUUAAUUUUUUUUCUUUUAUAUUAACUUCUUGUUUUUCCAAUGUUAGUUUUUCUUAAUUUAAAUUUAUAUGUUAAUAAUUUUUCAUUUUUUUGUUGUAGAUAGAGAAUUAUAUUUUUUAUUGAUGGUUUUUUGUAUGUGAUAGUGACAUAAACUUUUUGAAAUUUUAAAAUAAUAUUAUAUAUAGUACGAUUAACACAUUAAAGAAGAGAAACAUAUUCAGACACAUUUUACACAGGUUUUAUAUGCAUAAUUUUAAACAUUAUAUAUGUAUAUAUUAUAAGUUUGAAACAUGUAAAUGCUUUCUAAAGCUAAAUACUUGUUCUGAGUUUACAUAACUUAUCGAAAGUUUUAUCUCUUUUUAAAUUCAAAUCACAGAAAAAAUAUAAAAAAGUCAGUAUAGAUAGGUUUUUU
RNAcentral lists this long non-coding RNA (746 nucleotides) under Brassica rapa (field mustard). RNAcentral's name for it is "long non-coding RNA (BRAP_LNC001011)". Lineage: Eukaryota; Viridiplantae; Streptophyta; Magnoliopsida; Brassicales; Brassicaceae. The record is from RNAcentral.